This 194-nucleotide ribosomal RNA is filed under the name uncultured Listeria sp. Its description in RNAcentral is "partial 16S ribosomal RNA". It matches the Rfam family "Bacterial small subunit ribosomal RNA", at positions 340 to 525 of the family's 1533-position model. The record is from RNAcentral. Lineage: Bacteria; Bacillati; Bacillota; Bacilli; Caryophanales; Listeriaceae.
UACGGGAGGCAGCAUCGGCGAAUCUUCCGCAAUGGACGAAAGCCUGACGGAGCAACGCCGCGUGUAUGAAGAAGGUUUUCGGAUCGUAAAGUACUGUUGUUAGAGAAGAACAAGAGAUAAGAGUAACUGCUUGUCCCUUGACGGUAUCUAACCAGAAAGCCACGGCUAACUACGUGCCAGCAGCCGCGGUAAUU